AUGUCGCGCUUCGAGAAGGCCGUCCUCCUCUGCUUGGCCCUGUUCGCCGCAUGGCACCUCUGCUCGACCCUGUUCGCCGACGCGCCUCCUCGUCCUGGUGGCCACUCUGCGGAGGAGAAAGCUGUAGUCAGCGGCGCGGCCGGGAACGCGUCGGGCCUGAGUCUCGCAAGGGAGGCCGGCGUCCGGGCGGCGGACGGAGCGGGGAGCAACUUCGUCAUCUCGCCGCUGUCCAUCCACGCGGCGCUCGCGUUGGUUGCCGCCGGCGCGCGGGGCGUCACACAGACGGAGCUCCUGGGGCUCCUCGGGUCAGCGUCGCUCGACGAGCUGCACCGCGCGCCGACGAUCAAACUGGUGGGCAGGCUCAACGGCCUGACGCAGACGUCCUUCGCCUGCGGCGUGUGGGUCGACCGGAGGCAGGCGCUCAGGCCGGAGUUCAUGGCCACCGGCGCGUCGCGGUACGGCGCCACGGCCGAAUCUGUGGACUUCGUGUUGGAGGCCGAGCAGGCGAGGCGGCGCGUGAACGCCUUCGUGGCGAACGUGACGAAGCAGCUCAUCCUCGACGUCCUCCCUCCCGGCUCCGUCCACUCGUCCACGGCGGUCGUCCUCGCCAACGCGCUCUACUUCAAAGGAGCAUGGUCCCAGCCGUUCGACGUCUUCACCGCGCCGUUCCACAUCCCGGGCGGCAGCACCGUGGGCGUGCCGUCCAUGAAGACGUACCAGUCACAGUACAUCGCGCUCUACCCCGGCUUCAGGGCCCUCAAGCUGCCCUACAAGAAUGAAGUGGAUCAGCAAGCUGCAUUCUACAUGCUUAUCCUUCUCCCGGACAGCUACACUCUCAGUCUCGCCUAUCUCUACGACAAGGCGGCGUCGACACCAGAGUUCAUCAAGAAGCACACGCCCGCAAGGAAGGUUCCAGUCGG
Molecule: ribosomal RNA, 920 nt
Filed under: Triticum aestivum (bread wheat)
Lineage: Eukaryota; Viridiplantae; Streptophyta; Magnoliopsida; Poales; Poaceae
Description: partial small subunit ribosomal RNA
Source: RNAcentral